Molecule: transfer RNA, 85 nt
Filed under: Bacillota bacterium
Lineage: Bacteria; Bacillati; Bacillota
Description: tRNA-Leu
Rfam family: tRNA
About the family: Transfer RNA (tRNA) molecules are approximately 80 nucleotides in length.
Source: RNAcentral
GCGGUUGUGGUGAAAUUGGUAGACACGCUAUCUUCAGAGGGUAGUACUUCAAUGUGUGUGGGUUCGAGUCCCAUCAACCGCACCA